Molecule: ribosomal RNA, 1212 nt
Filed under: metagenome
Description: bacterial SSU rRNA
Rfam family: Bacterial small subunit ribosomal RNA
Source: RNAcentral
CGGUCCAGACACCUACGGGUGGCAGCAGUCGAGAAUUUUUCUCAAUGGGGGAAACCCUGAAGGAGCGACGCCGCGUGGGGGAUGAAUGGCUUCGGCCUGUAAACCCCUGUCAUUUGCGAACAAUCCCGUUUGUUUAAUAAACAAACGGUUGCUAGUAGCGAAAGAGGAAGGGACGGCUAACUCUGUGCCAGCAGCCGCGGUAAUACAGAGGUCCCAAGCGUUGUUCGGAUUCACUGGGCGUAAAGGGUGCGUAGGUGGCCAGGUAAGUUUGAUGUGAAAUCUCCGAGCUUAACUCGGAAAGUGCAUUGAAUACUAUCUGGCUCGAGGGUUGGAGGGGAGACUGGAAUUCUCGGUGUAGCAGUGAAAUGCGUAGAUAUCGAGAGGAACACCAGUGGCGAAGGCGAGUCUCUGGACAACACCUGACACUGAGGCACGAAAGCUAGGGGAGCAAACAGGAUUAGAUACCCUGGUAGUCCUAGCUGUAAACGGUGCACAUUUGCUGUAAGAGGAAUCGACCCCUUUUGUGGCGAAGCUAACGCGUUAAAUGUGCCGCCUGGGGAGUACGGUCGCAAGAUUAAAACUCAAAGAAAUUGACGGGGGCCUGCACAAGCGGUGGAGUAUGUGGCUCAAUUCGAUUCAACGCGAAGAACCUUACCUGGCCUUGACAUGUACGUAGUAGAAGGAUGAAAGUCUGACGAGUGUAGCAAUACACAGCGUACACAGGUGCUGCAUGGCUGUCGUCAGCUCGUGUCGUGAGAUGUUGGGUUAAGUCCCGCAACGAGCGCAACCCCUGUGUCCAGUUGCCACCCAGACGAGAGUUUGGAGCACUCUGGACAGACUGCCUCGCUUAAACGAGGAGGAAGGUGGGGAUGACGUCAAGUCAGUAUGGCCCUUACGGCCAGGGCUGCACACGUACUACAAUGCCCGGCACAGAGGGAAGCAAGACCGCAAGGUGGAGCAAAUCCCAGAAAACCGGGCCCAGUUCAGAUUGUCGGCUGCAACUCGCCGACAUGAAGCUGGAAUCGCUAGUAAUGGCGCAUCAGCUACGGCGCCGUGAAUACGUUCCCAGGCCUUGUACACACCGCCCGUCACAUCAUGAAAGCCGUUUGUACCCGAAGUCGCCGUGUUAACCGCAAGGAGACAGGCGCCGAAGGUAUGGAUGGUGAUUGGGAUGAAGUCGAAACAAGGUAGCCGUAGGGGAACCUGCGGCUG